CAUAUACUCCCUACGUCCAGAAAUACUUGUCAUCAAAAUGAAUAAAAAAGAAUGUAUCUAGACAUAAUAAAAAGGUCUAGAUACAUCCUCUUUUAUUCAUUUUGAUGACAAGUAUUUUCUGACGGAGGGAGUAAUAA
This is a non-coding RNA of Triticum aestivum (bread wheat), 137 nucleotides long. Lineage: Eukaryota; Viridiplantae; Streptophyta; Magnoliopsida; Poales; Poaceae. The record is from Rfam.